UGAACGCUGGCGGCGGCCUACACAUGCAAGUCGAACGGUAACAUUUCUAGCUUGCUAGAAGAUGACGAGUGGCGGACGGGUGAGUAAUGCUUGGGAACUUGCCUUUGCGAGGGGGAUAACAGUUGGAAACGACUGCUAAUACCGCAUAAUGUCUUCGGACCAAACGGGGCUUCGGCUCCGGCGCAAAGAGAGGCCCAAGUGAGAUUAGCUAGUUGGUAAGGUAACGGCUUACCAAGGCGACGAUCUCUAGCUGUUCUGAGAGGAAGAUCAGCCACACUGGGACUGAGACACGGCCCAGACUCCUACGGGAGGCAGCAGUGGGGAAUAUUGCACAAUGGGGGAAACCCUGAUGCAGCCAUGCCGCGUGUGUGAAGAAGGCCUUCGGGUUGUAAAGCACUUUCAGUUGUGAGGAAAAGUUAGUAGUUAAUACCUGCUAGCCGUGACGU
RNAcentral lists this ribosomal RNA (446 nucleotides) under uncultured bacterium. Its description in RNAcentral is "bacterial SSU rRNA". It matches the Rfam family "Bacterial small subunit ribosomal RNA", at positions 30 to 475 of the family's 1533-position model. The record is from RNAcentral.